This 392-nucleotide ribosomal RNA is filed under the name uncultured bacterium. Its description in RNAcentral is "bacterial SSU rRNA". It matches the Rfam family "Bacterial small subunit ribosomal RNA", at positions 97 to 524 of the family's 1533-position model. The record is from RNAcentral.
GGCGCACGGGUGCGUAACGCGUGGGAACCUGCCCUUUGGUUCGGAAUAACUCAGGGAAACUUGAGCUAAUACCGGAUGAUGACUUCGGUCCAAAGAUUUAUCGCCAAGGGAUGGGCCCGCGUAGGAUUAGCUAGUUGGUGGGGUAAUGGCCUACCAAGGCGACGAUCCUUAGCUGGUCUGAGAGGAUGAUCAGCCACACUGGGACUGAGACACGGCCCAGACUCCUACGGGAGGCAGCAGUGGGGAAUAUUGGACAAUGGGCGAAAGCCUGAUCCAGCAAUGCCGCGUGAGUGAUGAAGGCCUUCGGGUUGUAAAGCUCUUUUACCCGGGAUGAUAAUGACAGUACCGGGAGAAUAAGCUCCGGCUAACUCCGUGCCAGCAGCCGCGGUAAU